GUUGUGCUCAAGUUGGAUUUCAAAAAAGCAUUUGACUCUGUCUCCUGGGCUGCUCUGGACCGCGUACUGGAGGCGGAAGGCUUCUCAAGCAGGUGGCGUACGUGGGUACGUGACCUGAACACCUCCAGCCACUCUGCUGUUGUACUCAAUGGGGUCCCGGGAAAAUGGUUUGAGUGCAAAAAAGGCCUGCGCCAAGGGGACCCCAUGUCCCCGUACCUCUUCAUUCUGGUUGCGGACAUCCUGCAACACCUUGUUGCGGCGAUCGGAGCAAAGGGAGGGCUCCAACAUCCUCUUGAUCUGUCUCUCCCGUGUCCGGUUCUCCAAUAUGUCGACGACACUCUGAUUUUGCUCAAAGCGGAGCCAGCCCAAAUUUCUAAGUUGAAGAGUGUGCUUGCUGUUUUUACUGCCAACACUGUUCUCACCCUUAACUACGAUUAA
RNAcentral lists this ribosomal RNA (438 nucleotides) under Triticum aestivum (bread wheat). Its description in RNAcentral is "partial small subunit ribosomal RNA". Lineage: Eukaryota; Viridiplantae; Streptophyta; Magnoliopsida; Poales; Poaceae. The record is from RNAcentral.